Molecule: long non-coding RNA, 3502 nt
Organism: Alligator mississippiensis (American alligator)
Lineage: Eukaryota; Metazoa; Chordata; Crocodylia; Alligatoridae
Exons: 6
Source: RefSeq, a predicted model, not a curated record
AUGCUGUUGGGAUUCAGACUCAAAGAAGCUUGGUUGUAUUUAUGUUUGGACAUUAAAGGACAGGACCUCUUUCUGUUUUGUGAAAAUAAAUCACAGUGAUUUUCCUUUGAAUCUUAGGACUGGAGAUCCUGGUUAGCUUUGAGUAGCUUGGCAUGUACAUAAUUAGUUUGGGCCUUAACCUUAGCCUGUAUCUGCUGCCCUCCUAUUCUUCUCUCACUGUUCUUAUUUCUUCAUUCAUUUUCUUUUUCCAACACACUAACUGGUACCUGAAAAAAGACACAUUCAUCCUUCAGCAUUUAUGAUGGGUGCUCAUGGUCCUUGUGGUGUUUAAACAAAACAUUACUUGAGGUGGAGAGAGAGCAUAAGAAGCAGAUUGAGGAUUUCUUUGCCACGGUCUAUUCAUGCACAGGUCUGCCGCUGAGCACACUGGAGAGCCCCCCGUGCUCCUUUGAGAUGCCCCAUCCACCCCACCAGCUCAGCAUUCACGAGUUGUGCCUGGUACAUCAAGGAUGCUGAUUCUACACAAGUGGCCUCCCUUUGGACAAUUCUUGAUUUAGGAGAUUAACAGAUCCCCAAAUACAUGGAGUUCAGUUCUCGUCCUCUUCCGCUUCUUCCAGAAGACCAUCCUCCUUUGAGUGUUGCUGCAGGAAAGACUUACUGCACAAAGGCUGUAAAUGGCAGACUGACUUUGAACUUGGAUAUUCAGCUCGGUGUUGCAAGCCAGAGUGGGACAGAACUUCAAAUCCAGAGAGGGAGUGGAAAUGAUGCUCCAAUAUCGGGCAUCAUACUUUGUCUAGAACUAUGUGCAGCAGGCAGAAACAUCUAGUUGUAGAAUAAUAUACUACUAUCAAACGUCCUAUACAAGCAGUGGCACCUCGAAGAUGGAGGAGGAGGAAGGAGGCCCCGUUGUGCUGGAUACCGUCCAAAUGUAUAGUAAUAGAAAGUUCCUUCUCAAUACCGUAUACAUAAGGGCAAACAAGCCCGGGAGGGGAAAAGUCCUUGAAAGGAAAAGUGACUUGGCCAAAGUCAUAUAACAAUAAAUGCAGAUCACAAAUCCAGAUCCUGUGAUCCUGCCUACAUUCUGCGCUGCUGUUAUGGCUUUCCUUUAGAAUACCAUUAUAUUUUAACACAAAAUCUUUCCUUAUUUUACAAUGAAAGAAAGUGAAGAACUAAAAUACAUUAAAAAAAAAAAAAAAAGGUUGGUCAUUCUGAAUUCCUGUUAAUAAAAUAAACAGAAAAACAAACAAACAAAAAAAACCCCAGGAAUUUCAAUGAUGCACCCUAUCUGAUGGAUGAAAACUCCUGUUGAUUUCAUCCAAAUUCUUUGGUGAGACAAAGAAGAGAGUUUUUUUUUGUUUUUUUUGGGGGGGGGGGGGUUGCUUACAGAUUUGUGGUGCAUGUCUACACUAGCAGGUCUAUACUUUUAUAAAAUUCCAUUCAAACUCUAUUUAAUAUGCAGCAGAAUUAUUGUUCUUGCUAUAUAUCAACUUUAAAUCUGCUUCAAUACAACCUUAAAUGCCUUUCUUGCAGUAUAUCAUUUCAUCAGUCUAGCUUAACUAGAGCUGCUUUGUCAUUUUUUAUUGCCCCCAUAAAAUCUAGGAAUGGAACACUUGGAUUUUUCUAGCAGUAAUUUUUAUUACUUAGGCUUUUUUUAAAGUACUUGUCAAUGAGUUACAGUACUUGCACAGAGUACAUUUUUCAGCUCAGCAUUAUAUUUUUAUUUCAAUUUAUUUUAGACGGGAUGCGUAACGUUCAUCUAAAUAAUACCUAUGGUAUUUCAAAUGAGUGUAUUAUGAAUAUAAUUAGAAUGGAUAUAAACCUACUUCAUCCAUCAAGAUUCCUAUAUUUUGUUGCCUGCAUCUAAGCGUAUGGCUUCUUUCAAGUAAGCCUUUAAAUGAUAACUCACAUUGUGCUUUCAACGCUGCACAUAAAAUCAUAUCACAAUGUGGGGGAGGGAGGGAAAUUAGUUUCUUGUCAUUUUUAUGUUUUAAUUUCAAUUUUUUAGAGCUGUUUAGAUUUUUCCUUGGAGUGAGUUGUACCAGAACUUUUUAUUCCCCCCCACAACCUUAGGCAUAUAGAAAUUGCCAUAUUAGAUCAGGCCAGUGAUUUAUCUAGUCGAGUAGUCUGCCUGUUUCUUAGGCUCAUAAGAGGAAAAUGUGAAAUAUGAUGCUACGUGUUAUGGAAAUGUCUGUUCACUGAGACAGAUUCUUCCUAACCUGCUUCAGUUUUAGUUUAGUGUGUGCCCUGUAGCAUGAAGAUUUAUAGCUCUCCCAAAGAAAUGGAGAUACAGUUGUUUAAUUCUCCCCUUCCCUUCCCUCAUUGGAGACAUCGGUUCUAGUCUUGGUUCUGCCGCCUUUCUCGACUUUCCUCAGACAAGUCAUUUCACCUUUCUGUUCCUUGAUUUCCUCUUCUGUCAUUAUCCUGACCUUAGGUUAAAGCCUGGAGGACCUACAAAUCAAAUAUACAAUUUAAGAUCUAGACAGUAUUGGAUUUAAAGCAUAUUUUAAUUCUUAAUAUUGUAACUGCAGAUGUUCACACCAUCCAUCUAAAUGUCCAGUUCUUUGGUAAUGCUGAACAUCUCUUGGCCCCAGUGAUGUAUUGUGGCUCUAUGCUCCACGCUCUAAUUGUAUACUAUGUAAGAAUAAUUUUUUGUUUGUAAUCAGUGAAAGUGAACUGUUACUUUCUAGAAAUCUUAGGGAUUGAAGGCGGCACGGGGUAGGGAGGCAGCUUUGCAUUUCAACUGAUGGGUGAAAUUGUGUGCUUACAGUUAGCAUUCGCAUUAAAACAUCCCAAUUAGCUUUUGCACUGUUUCCAUUAGUAGUGCUAAAUGUGAACUUGUGUACAUGAGAAAUUAAUGUUUCUGUAAGAAAAAGAAAACUGUAACCAGAUAUGUCUAAACAGCCCUCCUCAGCUAUGUCAUAAAUACCCCCUCAUUAUUCUCAUUUUGUUGAAUGAAUAUUAAUAAUACAUUUUAAAUAAUACCUAUCAUAAUAUAGCAUGAGUGGGGAAUAGGAACACCUCUCUAACUAAUUAGAGAUCUUGAAUGACGUUGGGAAAGGGUUCUGGGUUGAAUCACUGUUCCUUGGACGGGAUUGAAUUAGCAUAGAUUUAAUGCCAGUGAUAAUUCUAUGCAAUUGUGAGAUCAGUAGUUUAAUGCAUCUGGCGGAGAGACAGGGAUUUUCUUUCUCUUACAAUGCUGAAUAACCCCCUAUAAUCCUUUUCCUUUAGCGCUUACGUCUAUCCAGGCUUCAGUUUAAUAAAAGGCCAAAGAAAUCAGGAUUCCGCUGAGCUUCUGUGGCUCAAACGCAGAGAGAAUGAGAUGUUAUCUCAGGGUGGUUGUGGUUCAGAAUCAUUGAAAAGAUGAAUGGGUGGAUUGGAGGGCUAUGUUUAUAUUUCCAAUUGCUUGUAUACUGCAGAAGACACCUUCUUAACAGUAAAGUGUAUAUGCUUUCUUUAAUCCAAUAGCCCAAGAACUAAAAGGACAAAAGAGAGCCUGGAGCAA